GACAUCGUGAUAAUUUUAUGAAAAAUGCAGAAGAAAAAUUUAAUAAUUUCGCUGCAGGUACAUCUACUAGUUCCGAUCAAGGCGUUGGUGAUAAAAUUACACUUUUAAAUGACCUAGGCAAAUACUACGAUGAUCUAACAGGUUCAAAAUGUAUUGCGAAAACCAGGACUCCAUUAGCUUACUGUACUUAUCUUAGUAAGUUAUUAUAUAGUAUAUUCGUAUAUAAAAAUUCAAUUUUUUGAGUCUAAAAUGUCCAAAUAUAAUAUUAUUUACUAACA
Long non-coding RNA from Rhopalosiphum padi (bird cherry-oat aphid), 278 nucleotides. RefSeq lists it as uncharacterized. The record is from RefSeq and is a predicted model, not a curated record. The transcript is spliced from 3 exons. NCBI's taxonomy places the organism in Eukaryota, Metazoa, Arthropoda, Insecta, Hemiptera, Aphididae.